GAUGAACGCUAGCGGCAGGCUUAAUACAUGCAAGUCGAGGGGCAUCAAGGUACACGAAAGUGUAUUGUUGGCGACCGGCGGACGGGUGAGUAAUAGGUAGGUAACCUACCUCAUACUGAGGCAUAGCUGGGAGAAAUUCCAGGUAAUUCCUCAUGAGGUUAUAUGACACAUGUGAUAUAAUCAAAGGUAUCGCAAGGUACUGGUAUGAGAUGGGCUUACUGACCAUUAGCUAGUUGGUGAGAUAAGAGCUCACCAAGGCGAAGAUGGUUAGGGGUUUUGAGAGAGAGAUCCCCCACAUUGGAACUGAGAUACGGUCCAGACUCCUACGGGAGGCAGCAGUAGGGAAUAGUUGGGCAAUGGGCGGAAGCCUGACCCAGCCAUGCCGCGUGAAGGAAGACGGCCUUAUGGGUUGUAAACUUCUUUACUAUGCGACUAACUAGAUUUACGAAAUAAUUCUAUAGAAUGUAGCAUAGCAAAAGCACCGGCUAA
Molecule: ribosomal RNA, 489 nt
Filed under: uncultured bacterium
Lineage: Bacteria
Description: bacterial SSU rRNA
Rfam family: Bacterial small subunit ribosomal RNA
Source: RNAcentral